This 83-nucleotide transfer RNA is filed under the name Ceratobasidium sp. AG-Ba. RNAcentral's name for it is "tRNA-Val". The record is from RNAcentral. Lineage: Eukaryota; Fungi; Basidiomycota; Agaricomycetes; Cantharellales; Ceratobasidiaceae.
GGCCGCUUGGUGUAGUUGGUUAUCACGCAUCCUUCACAUAGUUUGUGCGGAUGAGGUCUUGAGUUCGAACCUCAAAGUGGUCA